This 687-nucleotide ribosomal RNA is filed under the name Triticum aestivum (bread wheat). RNAcentral's name for it is "partial small subunit ribosomal RNA". The record is from RNAcentral. Lineage: Eukaryota; Viridiplantae; Streptophyta; Magnoliopsida; Poales; Poaceae.
AUGGGGGCUGCAUUAAUUCUCUUCAGCGUAGGAGUGGUGAUCAAUAAGCGGAGAUAUAGUAGAGCAGACCUUGCGAUCACAUAUGUGCUAUUCAUAGGAGGCCUCUGUAUGGAAGUUUGUUCAAUGUUUAUUUAUUUGAUGUCACCAUGGACCUUGGCAUGGUUGGAGGCUCGAAAUUGUCGUGGGCUUGCUCGCAUAUCCUCGUUUCUUCUGUCCAGCAACAUUGGACGGCCCGACAGAAGGCCGUUGUGGUCGAAUUCGAUGGGGCAAUAUAAUUUCCUGUGGUAUUUGGGUUGUGAUCAUCAAUCAAGGCUAUCCAAGUUAGUGAAGAAAGUGGCAAGAAUGAUUGCAAGUCUAGUAGUCAGCCAUAAGAAAAAAAUAAAGCCAUUGCUGUGGAUGAGCAAGUUAUUGGACACUAAUUAUGUUGAGGUGGAUAAGGAGAUCAUGGACUCACUUAUACGGAUAGUCAGCCAGUACAAUCCAGAUGAAUCAAGCAUGGACCCCAAGGAUUGGCCAAUGCUUGGUCCGUUGCUCAAUAAGUUACUACCAGACUUUGGUGCAAGUUUCGGUUAUGCUAUUGUGUGCUUCCAUAUAUUCACAGAGGCACACCUAAGCAGUCAUUCCCUUCCGGACCAAGAUAUUGUUUUGGUGAGUGCUUGUCGGAAGUUGUCCAACUAUAUGUUGUAA